Myotis davidii is the source of this 1582-nucleotide long non-coding RNA. RefSeq lists it as uncharacterized. The transcript has 5 exons. NCBI's taxonomy places the organism in Eukaryota, Metazoa, Chordata, Mammalia, Chiroptera, Vespertilionidae. The record is from RefSeq and is a predicted model, not a curated record.
CCUUCCCUUCAGCCAAGCCAGGCAGGAAAGGCUGUGGGCGCAAAGUGCCUCAGGGCCCCUCAGGGAAGGCGGCUAACGGCUGACUCUCUGCCCCCCCUCCCCUCCAUCCCCACGGGGGUGGCCGCCAUUUUUCCUCUACACAAAAUGGCCGCACGUGGUCCGGAUUCGUCGCCAACGAGAAAUUGGGCAGAUGAAUUCACUUAGGCACAGGGAGAUGACGUGAUUAACUCAAGGUCACAGUGUCAAGGAUGGAACCCAGACCACCUUAUUUCCUUAUGGGUACCUCUGGUGAUCCUGAGAUCUGGCAAAAAGGGCGCUGGACUACUCACUUCUUCAGACACCACCCAUUUUACAGAUGAAGCCACUGAGAUAAUGGAGCAACUGACUAGUCACCACCCCACCUCUGGAGCCUCACACAGGACUCUUCUCCUCCCACUUGAGUGACUGCAGGUGAGACAUGGUCUUGUCACUGUAACAUAAUAGUUGAGAAUGAGACUCUGGAGUCAGCCUUCUGGGGCGUGAAUUCUGACUCAGCCACUUACUGUAUGUCCUUGGAAUAUGGAGUUUGGUGGAGCACAGUUUUGGAAAGUGUGAACCUUUUCCCCAAAGGAAUGGGUGGCAAAUGGAGGAAUUCCAGGCGAAGGUAAUGUGACUAACAGUGAAAAAGAUUCUGUGGGGUUGGAAAUUUCUCCUUGCGUUCUUCAUUGAACAAAUCCACUGAACCACAUACUAUUUACCAGUCUCUGCUGGAGUCACACCAGUGUCUGACUGUUUACUGUGUGUCUGCAUAAGGCCAGUUCUGACCUGGAGUGGAGCCUAAGGUGAGGAGGAAGUAGAUAUUCUACAUUCUUUUUCCCACAUUUGGAUCCACUUCCCCUUUCCUCCAGCUGAAACAGGAAGUGGUGAGUGGGGUGAUGCCAUUAUGGCCACAGACAUCAUUAGCUUCUGGAUCCAAGGAAGGAGGGCUUCUGAGGCUUCUUUCCCCAUGUUUGACCUCUUCCAGGAUUUCUCAAGCACUCCUCCUACUCCAGGACUAUUUAUCUCAGCAUCAGUCUCAAGUCUCACUGCUCAGGAGUUCAGGAUUUUGACUUUACAUAUAGGGAUCUCUGCCAAGUGAGAUGGAGCUCAUUCUUAUGGAAAAACUGUGACGUUCUGUAUUUUCUACUUUUCCUCCUCUUCUAUAGCUCAUAGGAAGUCCGGAUUAUAAUAAUUUUUUCAACCUCUCAAUGAGAUAAACCCUGUUCUGUGGGCAGGAUGAUCUUGCAGGUGGAGAUCAAUUUGGUAGGGAGGGUGAUCAAGUGUCAGGAACUCAAGCUGGCAUAGGUGGUAACCAAAGAGGAAAUCAGUCACUUCCUUUGUGUGUGAUUCUCAACCAGUACAGACUGGAAGAAACUACUUGAAGCAGAUAGAAAUCUCUUAAGUUUUGUGACUAAGAAAUUACUAGGUCUCUUUGAGACCCUGAUGUAUAUGUCUUUACUGUCAUUAGUGAGAUCUUUGGUCAGCCAGUCUUGACUCAGUUGGCUGAGCUAAUCAUAAACAAAAUAGAUGGAAAGACUCAGCUUUUUAAAAUAUAUAUAUAUUU